UUCCCUCUCUUUGUUGACUUUCUUCAAGAGGGGAUUUCUAGAGUAGGGACAUUCUCUUAGAUGCCAUAAUAAAUGUCUCUCCAAUCACCAUUCUUCCUGUAACUUAGUAGCCAUACACUUGUUAUUACAUGCGACUGUCUUGUUUCCUUCUCUUUCUAUUUUUUCUUUUUUCUUGGUUUUCCAUUUGAUGUUCGGAAUCCACAUUUGAGCUUCAACUAAAUUCGGAUCACGCACUAAGGACAAAUUCAAGAAUGGUGCUUUCAAUAAGAUUUUUCUCACACAUAAGGUUUGAACCGAUAUCUCAGAUUAAAGAUGAAAACACUCUAAUCAGUGCUCUUUGUCGACUUUGUUCGAGAGGGGAUUCACUAGAGUAGGGCCACUCUCUUAGAUGCACUCCCUUUGGUUGGUGGGAAUUAUAUGCUAUAAUUGACAUCUCUCCAACCACCCUUCUUCAUAUAACUUAGUAGCCAUACACUUAUUAUUACAUGUGAUUGUCUUGUUUCCCUUUUUUCCUUUUUUUUUUUUGGGGGUUUCCCACCCAAUAUCUACUUCAUAUACAUUUAUUAUUACAUGACAAUUGUCUAAUUUUCCUCUAUUUGUUUUUUUCUUCUUUUGGUUUUUUAUUUGGUGUUUGGAGUUCACAUUUGAGCUCCGACUAAAUUCGAAUCGUGCAUUAUAGAACACGUUUAAGAGUGAUGCUUCCAACAAGAUUUUGCCAACACACAAGGCUCGAACCGAUACUUCUAAUUAAGGAUGAAACAUUCUCACCGGUGCUCUUUGUUGACUUUGUUCGAGAGGGGAUUCACUGGAGUCGAAGAAACAAGCUGGUCUACUACUUGAGGAGCUCUGGGCGGAGUGUGAAAAAAGUGGAGAUGAUAAGCUAUUGGAGAUAGUAAGAAGGAGAAACUUGCUCCAUCGUUUCUCAAGGUUUCUGGAGCAGCACUUCAGAUGCAAAAAGAGAGAUUGUGGUUUAAGGUGAGAGAUUUCAUAUCUCUCUCAUUUUAAUUGUUCAGUAUGAAUUGAAGGCGCGUUUUUCAUAGUGAUACUGCUAUUCCAAUAUUGCUAACAUUCAAUGGAUUUAGGGUCUUCGUCAUAUCAGAUGCGGUGGCACUAGUCAGCUCAAUCGUUUCUAUCAUUAUGUUCUUGUCCAUUCUCACAUCUCGCUAUGCUGAAGACGAUUUUCUUAUGUCAUUGCCUGCAAAGUUAUUCUUCGGAAUCACGGCGCUGUUUGUCUCCAUAGUUAGCAUGCUCUUGGCUUUUACAUCAACCUUCUUUUUGGUGUACAGUAAUCUUACGAAUUGGGAGCCAAAGCUCAUUGCUGCUUGUGCUUGUAUUCCUGUAGGAUUUAUUUGGGUGUUUCCAGUACAAACUAUGGUUUGAUGUAGCUAAAUCAACAUAUUGGUCCAAGUUUCUUUUUCGACCAAUAAAAGCAUAAACUCUGUUAACAACAGAGCCUGAGCCUUCAUUGCAGAUAACGGUUGCACAGACGAGAAUCUUCUUAUUGUUACGGUGCCUUAUUCUAACUACUCCUAUUUGUAAUGUUUGUGUUUGAAACUUCAGUGAAUUUCUCCAUCGA
Solanum pennellii is the source of this 1576-nucleotide RNA transcript. RefSeq lists it as uncharacterized. The transcript is spliced from 2 exons. The record is from RefSeq and is a predicted model, not a curated record. Lineage: Eukaryota; Viridiplantae; Streptophyta; Magnoliopsida; Solanales; Solanaceae.